GACGAACGCUGGCGGCGUGCUUAACACAUGCAAGUCGAACGGAGCGAAUGAAAGCUUGCUUUUAUAAGCUUAGUGGCAAACGGGUGAGUAACACGUAGACAACCUGCCGACAGGAUGGGGACAACAUUCCGAAAGGAAUGCUAAUACCGAAUGAAGUGCAGGGGAGGCAUCUCCCCUGCAUGAAAGAUGGCCUCUUUUUAUGCUAUCACCUGUUGAUGGGUGUGCGUCUGAUUAGCUGGUAGGUGAGGUAACGGCUCACCUAGGCGACGAUCAGUAGCCGGUCUGAGAGGAUGAACGGCCACAUUGGGACUGAGACACGGCCCAGACUCCUACGGGAGGCAGCAGUGGGGAAUCUUCCGCAAUGGGCGCAAGCCUGACGGAGCAACGCCGCGUGAGUGAAGAAGGUCUUCGGAUCGUAAAGCUAUGUUGAUGGAGACGAACGUGCCUAAUGCGAAUAGUAUUAGGUAAUGACGGUACCCAUCGAGGAAACCACGGCUACUCUCCC
This 505-nucleotide ribosomal RNA is filed under the name uncultured bacterium. Its description in RNAcentral is "bacterial SSU rRNA". It matches the Rfam family "Bacterial small subunit ribosomal RNA", at positions 28 to 506 of the family's 1533-position model. The record is from RNAcentral.